Pseudomonas sp. 1 R 17 is the source of this 152-nucleotide non-coding RNA. Lineage: Bacteria; Pseudomonadati; Pseudomonadota; Gammaproteobacteria; Pseudomonadales; Pseudomonadaceae. The record is from Rfam.
AUCCUUCCCAAGUGCCUGCUGACGUUGUCAGCAACAUGCUCAGGGCAGCUUUGAUCUAGAAAGCUGCAACGUACAUACCGUACGCCGAUCACCACCCAACCGCUAAAGCAUUCAAUUUGUGGUCACACGUCAGCGUUAUCGACGUGGAAUGC